GCCGGGCAUGGUGGCACAUGCCUGUAGUCCCAGCUACUCGGGAGGCUGAGGCAGGAGAAUCACUUGAACCCGGGAGGCAGAGGUUGCAGUGAGCUGAGAUCGUGCCACUGCACUCCAGCCUGGGUGACAGAGUGAGACUCUGUCUCAA
This 148-nucleotide non-coding RNA is filed under the name Pan troglodytes (chimpanzee). The record is from Rfam by way of RNAcentral. Lineage: Eukaryota; Metazoa; Chordata; Mammalia; Primates; Hominidae.